RNAcentral lists this ribosomal RNA (484 nucleotides) under uncultured bacterium. RNAcentral's name for it is "bacterial SSU rRNA". It matches the Rfam family "Bacterial small subunit ribosomal RNA", at positions 30 to 507 of the family's 1533-position model. The record is from RNAcentral.
AUUGAACGCUGGCAGCAGGCCUAACACAUGCAAGUCGAGCGGAUGAGUGGAGCUUGCUCCAUGAUUCAGCGGCGGACGGGUGAGUAAUGCCUAGGAAUCUGCCUGGUAGUGGGGGACAACGUUUCGAAAGGAACGCUAAUACCGCAUACGUCCUACGGGAGAAAGCAGGGGACCUUCGGGCCUUGCGCUAUCAGAUGAGCCUAGGUCGGAUUAGCUAGUAGGUGAGGUAAUGGCUCACCUAGGCGACGAUCCGUAACUGGUCUGAGAGGAUGAUCAGUCACACUGGAACUGAGACACGGUCCAGACUCCUACGGGAGGCAGCAGUGGGGAAUAUUGGACAAUGGGCGAAAGCCUGAUCCAGCCAUGCCGCGUGUGUGAAGAAGGUCUUCGGAUUGUAAAGCACUUUAAGUUGGGAGGAAGGGCAGUAAGUUAAUACCUUGCUGUUUUGACGUUACCAACAGAAUAAGCACCGGCUAACUUCGUG